Esox lucius (northern pike) is the source of this 1026-nucleotide long non-coding RNA. The record is from Ensembl. NCBI's taxonomy places the organism in Eukaryota, Metazoa, Chordata, Actinopteri, Esociformes, Esocidae.
CGAAAACAGAUCAUGCCAUCCUUAACAAUUACAAUGAUUACAUGUAGAUAUGAUUGCAAAUACAACAUAUAUGCGGUAACCGCAUCCAAUAGAACUGCAACUACCUGGCAUUUUGAAGCAUAACAAGUGAAAGUUGUCGAUGGAGGUUAAUGGAAGGAGAGUUUGUUUUGCCCGCCAAGUGGGUGUUCCCAUAGACAUAAUAAAGAGUAGACGCCGCAUUGGCUGCUGGGGCGCGAGAAAUACGGCCGCCAUGUUUGACCGGUCAUACUCCUAUUUGCGUAGCAGCAGAAGCAACGAUGCCAGAGUACUAUGGAGCAUACUCCUGCUCAUAUCGGCGGACCAUCGAAAGCAGGGCUCGGGGGAUUACUUUUCACAAGUUCAGCCAAGAUCACUUGGAGCUCCUAUUUAAUUCAAUCAGAGCAUCAGGUGCUGAGUGCUGCAGAGAGGGUGAUCCGCCAAGCUUCACCAAUGCCAGCUCCUAAGGUGUCGACAGUCACAGACAUCGUCCGGGAGGAGAUUGGAACGGAGGAUGUUUUUCUGCUUGGGGAACACAUUGAGGAGACUCAGUUUGGCAUCGACAACCAUCAUUCUGACUUGUUGUCAUUGGUUGUGUCUGUGUUUCUCAAAAUAAGGCUGCACCACAUUACCAAACUCACCUCUCUUGAACUGCAGAAAGGGAGCACGAGGAAGAACUGUCCUCUUUCAGGGGUUUUAGAGCGUGUGCAUGUGUGUGGUUCCACGACAAUUCAAGACUUUAAUCCUAAAUUCCAACAUCCCAAAACUAAUUCUAAGCUUUAUCUGUACUUUAACCUUACUCAUCACACAUAGUAUCUUUAUGUCAUAUCUGUCAUCAUUCUGACAAGAUUAACACUGAAUCUGAAAGCAAUGGCUUAAAACUGCCUGAAAACAGUGGUCUGUCACAUUUUAUGUGAAUACUGCUGUAAGUGUUGUUGGGUCUGUAAAUACCUCUGUUUGUUUGUGUUUCAUGAACUCUAGCCUCAUGGUGUGUGUCUCCAGGAAUCCAAA